GCUUUACUGUAACUUGGAAUUGAGUUUGGCUCUUCUUGCGCAGUAUAGGUGGAGGCUAAGAAAUAUGCUUGCGGGCAUAUUUGAGCCAUCAUUGAGAUACACUCUGGAAGGGUUGGAACUCUAACUUUGAGCCGUAAGCCGGCAAAAGACAGUUUCUGGUGGGCAGUUUGACUGGGCGGUCGCCUCCUAAAAAGUAACGGAGGCGCGCAAAGGUUCCCUCAGACUGGUCGGAAAUCAGUCGUAGAGUGUAAAGGCAUAAGGGAGCUUAACUGCGAGACUUACAAGUCGAGCAGAGACGAAAGUCGGCCUUAGUGAUCCGGCGGUUCCAUGUGGAAGGGCCGUCGCUCAACGGAUAAAAGUUA
RNAcentral lists this ribosomal RNA (362 nucleotides) under uncultured alga. RNAcentral's name for it is "bacterial LSU rRNA". It matches the Rfam family "Bacterial large subunit ribosomal RNA", at positions 2098 to 2465 of the family's 2925-position model. The record is from RNAcentral.